AGCUGCGGGAAAGGACCUGGAAAGGGUGGAGCAUGUCUCACCCCCACUUCAUCUAUAUGCAUUCACAUGGCUGUAAGACAUAAUUGAGCAAUUCUAAUCAUGCAUUGAAGAAUAAAAUUCAAGCAUCGAUUAGAAUCGCAUGCAGAAAAUAGGACAUAAGAUAAAUUUGACCUCCAACCAUUGUUCGAAUCAUCUCUCUAGGAAAAAGUUCGAAAAUGCUAAGAAAUUGCACGAGGCACGUUAAUUUUGAAUGCCUAAAUAAUUUUCAAAAGGUAGGAAAUAAAAAUAGCACCGAAGAAUAGGAGCUCAAUUUUGGGUCCUAAAAAACGAAGUCUCAAAGGAGCGAUAGACAUGAUUUCUAAUCAAUGGUGUUUACGAGUACUAAUUAAUGUUUCAAAGCUUUAGAAAAAAUCAUUCCUAAAAUAUUUCCCAAUAAUGUCACGUGUUGCACCGGUUAUUGGCCUAAUGUAAGCUAAUCACAAGCCUUAUCAUAUGCGCGCACGCACGCACAAAACAAAAAUGGGUAGAGGUAUAAGGAGUCCUUAAACUAGCAAAAUGUCCAAAUAGACACACACACAUGUACAUAUAUAUUGUAUAAAAUGGAUCCCUAAAACUAUAUACUCGUUUUCUUAGAAUUGGUUCUUCUGUUAAAAUUACAAAUGGAGAUGCUGAUGGCAUUUUAUGUGUCAGAAAAUUUUUCGUACAUAUACUAAUUUAAGAUUUUUUAUGGUAAAAAAAUUAAUUUAGGAUAAAUUUGUUACAAAUGUAUUAAUUUGGAGUUUUUUGUGAUAUUAACCCAAUAAAAUAAGAAAAAUCAAACAGAAAUUCAUUUUGGAGAAGCGGAUGCACCUCCAUCUAAAAGAAGUUUUGUAUUGCACUCUUGCUUAAAGAUCAAUUCUCUUGGUGUUGUAGACGAUUGCAGUCUUGGCUCGCUUUGGUCCUGUCCAAUCGCACAUGAAGCUCCUGGAGAAGCGGGAGAUUGUCCUCUUCGAUCUUCUUCAAUAGGUUAUCCACAAGCACGUACCUCUCCAAGUCCCCGAGCUUUGCGAUGUCCACCACCUCACAGUCCAGUACAGACGCCCUCUCCGAUCUUCUUCAACAUACAGGUGGAAGCAAUGAGGGUCACCAACCUUCGCCUCAGCUUUGAGCGAGGGCCGCCCCUCGCUAAAGAUACGAACAAAUGCCAAAAAGGUAUGCCGAUUAGGAACCCGGUCGCACAGGAAA
RNAcentral lists this long non-coding RNA (1224 nucleotides) under Eucalyptus grandis. RNAcentral describes it as "long non-coding RNA (EGRA_LNC001886)". The record is from RNAcentral. Lineage: Eukaryota; Viridiplantae; Streptophyta; Magnoliopsida; Myrtales; Myrtaceae.